UUCCGGUUGAUCCUGCCAGACCUGAAUGCUAUCGGAGUGGUACUAAGCCACGCAAGUUGAAAGAUCGAAAAUGGUCGAUCUUGGCAUACGGCUCAGUAACACGUGGAGAAUCUGCCCUGUGGUCCCCAAUACCCCCGGGAAACUGGGAAUAAUGGGGGAUAUACGAGGUGGCCUGGAAUGGUACCUCGCUGAAAGGAACACGCCUAACCGUGCAACCGCCACAGGAUGACUCCGCGGCCGAUCAUGCUAGACGGCGGGGUAACGGCCCACCGUGGCUUUGAUCGGUACCGGCCAUGUAAGUGGGAGCCGGGAGAUAGGCACUGAAACAAUGGCCUAAGCCCUACGGGGUGCAGCAGGCGAGAAAACUCCACAAUCCGCGGAAGCGGGAUGGGGCCACUCCGAGUGCCGACUCUAAAAAAGACGGCUGUGGCGAGAUCUACAACGUCUCGCAAGAAAGGAGAGGGCAAGGCUGGUGCCAGCCGCCGCGGUAAAACCAGCUCUUCAAGUGUUCAGGACUUUUAUUGAGCUUAAAGCACCCGUAGCGGGCCUCGCAAGUCCCCGGUUAAAUCCACGUGCUCAACCCGUGGCCGGCUGGGGAUACUACAAGGCUUGGGAGCGGGAGAGGCAGCGGGUAC
Molecule: ribosomal RNA, 635 nt
Filed under: uncultured crenarchaeote
Lineage: Archaea; Thermoproteati; Thermoproteota
Description: bacterial SSU rRNA
Rfam family: Archaeal small subunit ribosomal RNA
Source: RNAcentral